GCAUCCUUAGCUCAGUUGGAUAGAGCAUCGCCCUCCGAAGGCGGGGGUCGCCGGUUCGAAUCCGGUGGGGUGCA
This 74-nucleotide transfer RNA is filed under the name Clostridiales bacterium. RNAcentral's name for it is "tRNA-Arg". It matches the Rfam family "tRNA". Rfam says of the family: Transfer RNA (tRNA) molecules are approximately 80 nucleotides in length. Their secondary structure includes four short double-helical elements and three loops (D, anti-codon, and T loops). Lineage: Bacteria; Bacillati; Bacillota; Clostridia; Eubacteriales. The record is from RNAcentral.